RNAcentral lists this ribosomal RNA (515 nucleotides) under uncultured bacterium. RNAcentral describes it as "bacterial SSU rRNA". It matches the Rfam family "Bacterial small subunit ribosomal RNA", at positions 9 to 526 of the family's 1533-position model. The record is from RNAcentral.
GAGUUUGAUCCUGGCUCAGGAUGAACGCUGGCGGCGUGCCUAACACAUGCAAGUCGAACGAAGCACCUUACCGGAUUCUUCGGAUGAAAGUUUGGUGACUGAGUGGCGGACGGGUGAGUAACGCGUGGGUAACCUGCCCUGUACAGGGGGAUAACAGCUGGAAACGGCUGCUAAUACCGCAUAAGCGCACGAGGAGACAUCUCCUUGUGUGAAAAACUCCGGUGGUACAGGAUGGGCCCGCGUCUGAUUAGGUAGUUGGUGGGGUAACGGCCUACCAAGCCGACGAUCAUUAGCCGACCUGAGAGGGUGACCGGCCACAUUGGGACUGAGACACGGCCCAAACUCCUACGGGAGGCAGCAGUGGGGAAUAUUGCACAAUGGGGGAAACCCUGAUGCAGCGACGCCGCGUGAGCGAUGAAGUAUUUCGGUAUGUAAAGCUCUAUCAGCAGGGAAGAAAAUGACGGUACCUGACUAAGAAGCACCGGCUAAAUACGUGCCAGCCGCCGCGGUAAUAC